GAGGGUAUAGCUCAGUGGUAGUGUGCAUGCCUAGCAUGCACGAGGUCCUGGGUUCAAUCCCCGGUACCUCCA
This is a transfer RNA of Camelus ferus (Wild Bactrian camel), 72 nucleotides long. It matches the Rfam family "tRNA". From Rfam's summary of the family: Transfer RNA (tRNA) molecules are approximately 80 nucleotides in length. Their secondary structure includes four short double-helical elements and three loops (D, anti-codon, and T loops). Further hydrogen bonds mediate the characteristic L-shaped molecular structure. tRNAs have two regions of fundamental functional importance: the anti-codon, which is responsible for specific mRNA codon recognition, and the 3' end, to which the tRNAs corresponding amino acid is attached (by aminoacyl-tRNA synthetases). tRNAs cope with the degeneracy of the genetic code in two manners: having more than one tRNA (with a specific anti-codon) for a particular amino acid; and 'wobble' base-pairing, i.e. permitting non-standard base-pairing at the 3rd anti-codon position. Lineage: Eukaryota; Metazoa; Chordata; Mammalia; Artiodactyla; Camelidae. The record is from Rfam.